CGCUGGCGGUGUGCUUAACACAUGCAAGUGGUGCGACGAACCAGAGCUUGCUCUGGGCAAAGCCGCGAACGGGUGAGUAACACGUGGGUAAUCUACCCCGAUGACCGGGACAACCCGAGGAAACUCGGGCUAAUACCGGAUGUGGUACGGAGACAUAAGUCUCUUUACUAAAGGUAGCUUCGGCUUCCGCAUUGGGAGGGGCCCGCGGCCCAUUAGCUAGUUGGUGGGGUCAAGGCCUACCAAGGCAACGAUGGGUAGCUGGUCUGAGAGGACGAUCAGCCACACUGGGACUGAGACACGGCCCAGACUCCUACGGGAGGCAGCAGUGGGGAAUCUUGCGCAAUGCGCGAAAGCGUGACGCAGCAACACCGCGUGAGGGAAGACGGCCUUAGGGUUGUAAACCUCUUUCAGAUGGGACGAAGGUGAUGCGGUGAAUAGCCGAUGUCAUUGACGGUACCGUCAGAAGAAGCUCCGGCUAACUACGUG
This 486-nucleotide ribosomal RNA is filed under the name uncultured bacterium. RNAcentral describes it as "bacterial SSU rRNA". It matches the Rfam family "Bacterial small subunit ribosomal RNA", at positions 34 to 507 of the family's 1533-position model. The record is from RNAcentral.